UCGAGAAUCUUUCACAAUGGGCGAAAGCCUGAUGGAGCGACGCCGCGUGGAGGAUGAAGGCCUUCGGGUUGUAAACUCCUGUCAUGAGGGAACAAGAAAGUGAUAGUACCUCAAGAGGAAGAGACGGCUAACUCUGUGCCAGCAGCCGCGGUAAUACAGAGGUCUCAAGCGUUGUUCGGAUUUACUGGGCGUAAAGGGCGCGUAGGCGGCAAUUCAAGUCAUCUGUGAAAUCUCCGGGCUUAACUCGGAACGGUCAGAUGAUACUGCUUUGCUAGAGUGCAGAAGGGGCAAUCGGAAUUCUUGGUGUAGCGGUGAAAUGCGUAGAUAUCAAGAGGAACACCUGAGGUGAAGACGGGUUGCUGGGCUGACACUGACGCUGAGGCGCGAAAGCCAGGGGAGCAAACGGGAUUAGAUACCCAUGUAGUCCCUGAGCGGGCUGGCAAGGCGCAU
This 450-nucleotide ribosomal RNA is filed under the name uncultured bacterium. RNAcentral describes it as "bacterial SSU rRNA". It matches the Rfam family "Bacterial small subunit ribosomal RNA", at positions 355 to 825 of the family's 1533-position model. The record is from RNAcentral.